AGCGAACGCUGGCGGCAGGCUUAACACAUGCAAGUCGAACGCAUCACUUCGGUGGUGAGUGGCAGACGGGUGAGUAACACGUGGGAACGUACCCUUCGAUCUGGGAUAACUUCGGGAAACUGGAGCUAAUACCGGAUACGCCCUUUUGGGGAAAGGUUUACUGUCGAAGGAUCGGCCCGCGUCUGAUUAGCUAGAUGGUGGGGUAACGGCCUACCAAGGCGACGAUCGGUAGCUGGUCUGAGAGGAUGAUCAGCCACACUGGGACUGAGACACGGCCCAGACUCCUACGGGAGGCAGCAGUGGGGAAUAUUGAACAAUGGGCGCAAGCCUGAUCCAGCCAUGCCGCGUGAGUGAUGAAGGCCUUAGGGUUGUAAAGCUCUUUUGUCCGGGACGAUAAUGACGGUACCGGAAGAAUAAGCCCCGGCUAACUUCGUG
Molecule: ribosomal RNA, 435 nt
Filed under: uncultured bacterium
Lineage: Bacteria
Description: partial 16S ribosomal RNA
Rfam family: Bacterial small subunit ribosomal RNA
Source: RNAcentral